UGUUAUUCACACUUUUAUAUUUAACUGCC
Molecule: non-coding RNA, 29 nt
Filed under: Mus musculus (house mouse)
Lineage: Eukaryota; Metazoa; Chordata; Mammalia; Rodentia; Muridae
Source: RNAcentral